Molecule: long non-coding RNA, 1067 nt
Organism: Dreissena polymorpha
Lineage: Eukaryota; Metazoa; Mollusca; Bivalvia; Myida; Dreissenidae
Exons: 3
Source: RefSeq, a predicted model, not a curated record
GUUAGCAUAAACUUUACACACUUGCAUUAGGCCCAGUUUUUAUGUCCCCCACUAUAGUAGUGGGGGACAUAUUGUUUUUGCCCUGUCUGUUGGUCUGUACGUUGGUCUGUACGUUGGUCUGUUUGCGCCAACUUUAACAUUUUGCAAUAACUUUUGCUAUAUUGAAGAUAGCAACUUCAUAUUUGGCAUGCAUGUGUAUCUCAUGAAGCUGCACAUUUUGAGUGGUGAAAGGUCAAGGUCAUCCUUCAAGGUCAGAGGUCAAAUAUAUGUGGCCAAAAUUGCUCAUUUUAUGAAUACUUUUGCAAUAUUGAAGAUAGCAACUUGAUAUUUGGCAUGCAUGUGUAUCUCAUGGAGCUGCACAUUUUGAGUGGUGAAAGGUCAAGGUCAUCCUUCAAGGUCAGAGGUCAAAUAUAUGUGGCCCAAAUCGCUUAUUUUAUGAAUACUUUUGCAAUAUUGAAGAUAGCAACUUGAUAUUUGGCAUGCAUGUGUAUCUCAUGGAGCUGCACAUUUUGAGUGGUGAAAGGUCAAGGUCAUCCUUCACAAGGUCAAGGUCAUCCUUCAAGGUCAAACAUCAUAUAGGGGGACAUUGUGUUUCACAAACACAUCUUGUUUUUUAACCAGGUUUUUAACCAGGUUUUCCGAAGGAAAAAACUGGUUAUUACAUUGGCGAAUGCGGGCGGGCUGGCUGGCGGGCUGGCUGGCUGGCUGGCGGGCUGGCGGAAUAAGCUUGUCCGGGCCAUAACUAUGUCGUUCAUUGUCAGAUUUUAAAAUCAUUUGGCACAUUUGUUCACCAUCAUUGGACGGUGUGUCGCGCGAAAUAAUUACGUCGAUAUCUCCAAGGUCAAGGUCACACUUUGAGUUCAAAGGUCAAAAAUGGCCAUAAAUGAGCUUGUCCUGGCCAUAACUAUGUCAUUCAUUGUGAGAUUUUAAAAUCAUUUGGCACAUUUGUUCACCAUCAUGGGACGGUGUGUCCCACGAAAGAAUCACGUCAAUAUCUCCAAUGUCAAGGUCGCCACGACUAAAAAUAGAUUUUAAAAAAAAAAAAACUUACAAAGGGGGUUAAUUCU